CUUGAGCGUGCGCUGAUUCGAAUCACUGAAUCAUUUUGUGAAUCAUUUGAUUCAACUGACUCGGAUCUUCAAAAAGCUCAGUUUCUCCAUCAGUACUCGAUGAUGAACUGAUUCAGAUUCAGAGAGAGAUGAGACGCACCGUUUCUGUUACUCUUGCGCUUUACAAGCACAAAAUACCCUUCAUUAAUAACACUUAAUAAAGCAUUACAGUAAUACAGUCGGUAACAAUUCAUUUCUAAGUUUUAUAUACAAUUCUCACAGACGCGGGAGCGCGCGCAGCCUUGUGACGUCUUCUUCUUCUUCUUCUUCUUUGUUUUUAACGGCGGUUGGCAACCAGCUUUUGGUGCAUUACCGCCACCUUCUGCUUCGGAGUGUGAAUCAGACAAUAGGCUUACAAUCUAGUUUCCACAUAAAAAAAAAAAAAAAAAAACCUACACACAAUCAUUCAUUACCCAACACACUUUCCCAUAUCCCUGUUUAUCCUCAUAAUCUAUUAAACAAACCUGUUUCCCUUAAGAAAGUUAACAAUAUUCUAACCUGUGCUCUGUCACCUAUGCUCAUCAGUCCUGUUAAAGUUAAUUCCUGAACCCCUAAUUCCCUCAAAUUAUUCUCCAUUAUCACUCUCUGUUCCUCAUACCUCCUACAUCUUAUAAUUAUGUGCUCCACUGACUCCUCUUCUUGACACCACUCACACAAGCCUGUCUCGUGUCUUCCUAUCAUUUUCAGUGAUUUGUUUAGCGCACCGUGCCCCAACCUUAAUCUUGUCAUUACGGUUUCCUCUCUCCUGUACCCACCACCUAACCUAGUUAUUUUUACACUCUUUUGAAUUUUAUAUAAAUGCCUUCCUUUCUCCUCUCUGUCCCAUCUAUCUUGCCACAUUUGGUUGGUUUUUUCCCAGAUGAUACUUUUGACCUCUGCUUUACUUAUUUUAAUUUGCAUUUCUAUAUUUCCCUUCUUUAAAGCCUUCUUUGCCAAUUCAUCCACCUGCUCAUUCCCUUUCACCCCUACAUGUGCUGGAACCCACAUAAAUUGAACCUGUCCUCCUUGAUUUGCUAUCCUUGUUACUGAUUGAAGGACUUCAUAUAACACAUCCUGACGGCUUUUUGAGUGAAAAGACCUUAAACUCACUAGGACUGAGGAUGAAUCGGAUAAUAUCAGCACCUUUUCUUGUCUUGUUUUUUCCACCCACCUUAAAGCAACUAAUACUGCUACCAUUUCCACUGUGUAAACUCCUAAAAAAUCUGACGUUCUUCUAUUAAUUCCUAUUCCUUUAGCAGGAAUUGCCACCCCAUAUCCUGUCACUCCUGUCUCAGGUUUCUUAGAACCAUCUGUAUAUAUAUGUAUGAAUUCUUUAUAAUCUUUACUUAUGUGAUGCUUGAAUGCACUUACCAAAUCUAUUUGAUCCUUUCCUUUCUUCUUUAACUCUAAUAAAUACCAGUCAAUAUCAGGCCA
Molecule: long non-coding RNA, 1452 nt
Organism: Cyprinus carpio (common carp)
Lineage: Eukaryota; Metazoa; Chordata; Actinopteri; Cypriniformes; Cyprinidae
Source: Ensembl